RNAcentral lists this unclassified non-coding RNA (332 nucleotides) under Hevea brasiliensis (rubber tree). Lineage: Eukaryota; Viridiplantae; Streptophyta; Magnoliopsida; Malpighiales; Euphorbiaceae. The record is from RNAcentral.
CGUUCAUAUCCUGGCUUUUUCCAUUUUGCAAUCAGGUUACGAUCGCCAUAACCUUGUUCCAAGCAGAACUCGUAAAGCUCUUUAGAAAUUUCAUUCGUUUNNNNNNUAUAAUAAAUGUCAAAAAUGUAGCGGCUCCUUUGAUGGGCAAUUCUGAAAAUAGGCCAGAGAGUUUCACAUUUUCUCUUGCCAUCAUGAGGAUCAUUUUCAGCUUCCCUCAUCUGGCAUCUAGCUCGCGAAGAGUAGGCUCGAUCAACUCCCACCCAUCUGGAUAUUUGAUCCGGUUGGUCUUCACUUUGGGCAUUUCUGCAACAGAAGCUGGAUUUCCUUCGCUA